This 253-nucleotide ribosomal RNA is filed under the name uncultured bacterium. RNAcentral describes it as "partial 16S ribosomal RNA". It matches the Rfam family "Bacterial small subunit ribosomal RNA", at positions 524 to 776 of the family's 1533-position model. The record is from RNAcentral.
UACAGAGGGUGCGAGCGUUAAUCGGAAUUACUAGGCGUAAAGCGCGCGUAGGCGGCUUUGCAAGUCGGAUGUGAAAUCCCCAGGCUCAACUUGGGAACUGCAUCCGAUACUGGAUGGCUUGAAUCCGGGAGAGGGAUGCAGAAUUCCAGGUGUAGCGGUGAAAUGCGUAGAUAUCUGGAGGAAUACCGGUGGCGAAGGCGGCAUCCUGGACCGGCAUUGACGCUGAUGAGCGAAAGCUAGGGGAGCAAACGGG